GAUGAACGCUGGCGGCGUGCCUAAUACAUGCAAGUCGAGCGAACAGACGAGGAGCUUGCUCCUCUGACGUUAGCGGCGGACGGGUGAGUAACACGUGGAUAACCUACCUAUAAGACUGGGAUAACUUCGGGAAACCGGAGCUAAUACCGGAUAAUAUAUUGAACCGCAUGGUUCAAUAGUGAAAGACGGUUUUGCUGUCACUAAUAGAUGGAUCCGCGCCGCAUUAGCUAGUUGGUAAGGUAACGGCUUACCAAGGCAACGAUGCGUAGCCGACCUGAGAGGAUGAUCGGCCACACUGGAACUGAGACACGGUCCAGACUCCUACGGGAGGCAGCAGUAGGGAAUCUUCCGCAAUGGGCGAAAGCCUGACGGAGCAACGCCGCGUGAGUGAUGAAGGUCUUCGGAUCGUAAAACUCUGUUAUUAGGGAAGAACAAAUGUGUAAGUAACUAUGCACGUCUUGACGGUACCUAAUCAGAAAGCCACGGCUAACUACGUG
Molecule: ribosomal RNA, 497 nt
Filed under: uncultured bacterium
Lineage: Bacteria
Description: partial 16S ribosomal RNA
Rfam family: Bacterial small subunit ribosomal RNA
Source: RNAcentral